UCGAAGCCACGUUGUAGUUGGAAUUUGUAAGAAUACUUUAGUGUGGAGGAAUCUGUGCAAUAGUCAAUGGAAUAGAUUUCUCGUGGGUAGAAGGACAAUUUUAUUGGCAAGAACAAUGGCAAAUACGGCUGAAGUCAGUGCCAAGAUGAACAAUGUCGUGGAAAGAUUUGACAAUAUUACCAAGUCAGCAGAGGACAAUAGGAACUAUCGAGGGCUGCUGCUGAGUAAUGAUAUGAAGGUGCUGCUGGUAAGUGAUCCAACAACUGAACGAUCAGCUGCCGCGAUGGCAGUUGACGUGGGGCAUUUGAGUGAAUCCAGCGGAAAUCCCAGGUCUGGCUCAUUUUCUUGAGCAUAUGUUGUUCCUGGGGACUGAGAAGUACCCCAAUGAGAAUGACUAUUCGACGUAUUUGGCUCAGCAUGGGGGCAAUUCCAAUGCAUCAACUUAUGCAGAUAUCACAAAGUUCUAUUUUGACAUCGUUCCGGACAAGUUGGAAGGGGCUCUGGACAGAUUUGCUCAGUUUUUUAUAGCUCCACUUUAUACGGAAAGUGCGACAGAUCGGGAGAUAAAUGCUGUCCAUUCGGAGCAUGAGAAGAAUGUUCCGAUGGAUUCGUGGCGAGUGAGACAAGUUAACAAAUCCCUGUCCAAUCCUAGGCAUCCGUACAGUAAAUUUUGGCACGGGGAAUAAGAAGACUCUCGAUGAGGAUGUCAGAGCCAAGGGGAUUAAUAUCCGGGAUGAGUUGUUGAAGUUUCAGGAUAAAUGGUAUUCAGCCAAUAUUAUGAGUUUGGCGGUUUUUGGCAAGGAGGAACUGGAUGUGCUGGAGGAAAUGGUGAUUUCCAAGUUCUCAGAGGUCGUUAAUAAGGACGUAGUGGCGCCUACCUGGACAGAAUCACCGUAUACGGAAAAUGAAUUGGGUGUGAAGGUGAAUGUGGUUCCUGUGAAAGAUACUCGUUCCCUGACCAUAACAUUUCCCUGUCCGGAUCUCGAGAGCCUGUACAAGUCCAGUCCGGAUAAGUACAUUACGCAUCUACUGGGGCACGAGGGUAAGGGGAGUUUGUUGUCGGAGCUGAAGAGUAAGGGCUACUGCAACAAUCUCAUGGCAGGAUACACUCUGGCAGCUCGUGGCUUUGGAUUCUUUGACAUUGUGGUGGAUCUGACGCAAGAUGGCUUUGAGAAUGUCAACGAUGUCAUCCUCAACACCUUUCAGUACAUCCAAAUGCUGAAGACUGAAGGAGCUGUACGGAGGAUUUUCGAUGAGUAUCGUCACAUUCUCGAGAUGCAGUUUAGGUUCAAGGAGAAGGAAGGACCUCUGUCUCUUGUGUCCAGUGUUGUUCAUUCCAUGAGAAUAACUGCCCUUUGAAGAUGUCCUCUCAGCUGGAUAUUUCAUCAGUGAGUGGCGUCCGGAUCUCAUUGAGGAUAUUCUCAAGUACCUGGAACCGCAAAAGAUGCGGGCAGUUGUUGUUGGUAAAAAGGUCGAGUCAAAGUGCGAUAGAACAGAAUUUUGGUAUGGAACAAAAUUUUUCAGUGGAAAAUUUCCGGCCAGAAGAACUCAAAGCAUGGAGUGAUUGUCAACUCAAUCCGCAAUUUUAUCUGCCGGAAGAGAAUCUUUUCAUCCCAACGCAAUUUACAAUAGCUGACCUGGAGGAUGAUGUAACAGACUAUCCCACCAUUAUCUACGAUACAACGCACAUUCGUGUCUGGCAUAAGCAAGAUGCAGAAUUCCGAAAGCCAAAGGCUCUCAUGAAUUUUGACUUUUCCAGUCCGCUCGUCUACUCAGAUCCUCUCAAUUGCAACCUAACCCAUCUCUUUGUCAUGCUCUUUCGGGACCAUCUCACUGAAUAUCUGUACAAUGCCGAAUUGGCAGGUUUGAGGCUAAAUGUAGGCAAUACCCUAAAUGAGAUCAGCAUAAGUAUUAGUGGUUUCAAUGAAAAACAGAAACUUUUCCUCCAAGAUAUUCUCAAUGCCCUCUAUAAUUUCAAAGUGGAUCCAAAGAGAUUUGACAUCUUCAAAGAGAAAUACACCAGAACACUCAAGAAUUUCGAAGCUGAACAGCCAUAUCAGCAUGCUGUCUACUACCUCGGUGUCCUCCUAACGGAAUUUGCAUGGACAAAGAAGGAACUUCUCGAUGCCACAAAAGCCACCACACCCGAAACACUCCAGCAAUUCAUUCAUGAUUUCCUCUCGCGUGUACAUGUUGAAUGCCUCAUCUAUGGCAAUGUGACCAAGGGAGAUGCCAUGGAUCUGGCAUCAAUUAUUGAGGAACGCCUCAAGAAGACAAAUUCCGUUACACUACCCCUCUUAGCGCGACAGCUCUUCCCCAAGCGUGAGUAUAAACUGGGCGAAGGCCGAAGUUUCCUCUUUCGCAAAAACAAUCAGUUCCACAUGGCGUCCUGCACACUCUUUUACAUCCAAUGCGGUGUUCAAAGCGAUGUCAACAACAUCUUCACGGAUCUCGUGGUGCAGAUCCUGUCAGAGCCGUGCAAUAAUGUGCUCCGGACGAAGGAACAACUGGGCUAUAUUGUCUUCUGCAGCGCCAGGAAAAUAAAUGGUGUCCAGGGGAUUCGGAUGCUAGUGCAAUCGUCGCAGCCAACAGCCUUUGUUGAGGAGAGGAUGGAACUUUUCCUGGAUUCAAUGGUGGAACACAUUGAGAAUAUGCCAGAUGAGGAGUUCCAGAGGCACAAAGAUUCUCUGGCGGCAAUAAAGCUGGAAAAGCCACGACAGCUAAUGUCGUGGUUCAGCAGGUAUUGGACUGAGAUUGGUCUGCAACAGUAUCAUUUUUCACGUGGACAGGCUGAAGUGGCUGUUCUCAAGGGAGUCACCAAGGAAGCUUUGUUGCAGUACUACAAAGAUUCUAUUCUUAGAAGUUCGAAGCGCAGACAAAAAUUGGCCAUUCAUAUCAUCUCAUCGCAAUCUGAGAAUGAAAAUGGAGGAGGGCAGGAUAAUGAAAUUUUGCAGGACAAUGUAGAAGUCGUGACGGAUCUGUCUACAUUCAAGUCCAGCAAGGAACUAUAUCCAGUGGUGCAACCGUACAUCGAUAUCCGGCGAAAGGGGGCUCGAAGUAAAUUGUAAUAGUGGUUGGAAAUUUUAUUCACUAUUUAUUUACCGAAAAA
Molecule: RNA transcript, 3109 nt
Organism: Phlebotomus papatasi
Lineage: Eukaryota; Metazoa; Arthropoda; Insecta; Diptera; Psychodidae
Gene name: insulin-degrading enzyme-like
Exons: 4
Source: RefSeq, a predicted model, not a curated record